RNAcentral lists this ribosomal RNA (427 nucleotides) under uncultured bacterium. Its description in RNAcentral is "partial 16S ribosomal RNA". It matches the Rfam family "Bacterial small subunit ribosomal RNA", at positions 354 to 796 of the family's 1533-position model. The record is from RNAcentral.
GUGGGGAAUAUUGGGCAAUGGGGGAAACCCUGACCCAGCGACGCCGCGUGAGGGAAGAAGGCCUUAGGGUCGUAAACCUCUGUUGUGUGGGAAGAAGAGCGUGACGGUACCACACGAGGAAGUCCCGGCUAACUACGUGCCAGCAGCCGCGGUAAUACGUAGGGGACGAGCGUUGUCCGGAUUUACUGGGCGUAAAGGGCGCGUAGGCGGUCAUUUAAGUCAGCUGUGAAAUGGUUUGGCUUAACCGGAUCAUGCGGUUGAAACUGGAUGACUGGAGUGCUGGAGAGGCAAGUGGAAUUCCCAGUGUAGCGGUGAAAUGCGUAGAUAUUGGGAAGAACACCGGUGGCGAAGGCGACUUGCUGGCCAGUAACUGACGCUGAGGCGCGAAAGCCAGGGGAGCAAACGGGAUUAGAAACCCGGGUAGUCC